CGCCGGAGCCUGCCUAUGAUUGUUCCCAGUUUCCUCAGAUUGUUUCUGGUUUAGCGAGUGUGCUGGGGCGGCCCUGCACAGAGGGGUGAGGCAGCCGGCCCGAGAGAGCCACAGACAUUUAGGAGAGCACGUAACUACCACCGCACUGCGGAAGAACUUUUGACAGCUACGCAAACACAUGCCCUUGAUCCUACCCGUCACAUCUUCUGGACGCUCACCAAUGCAACCAGAGGUUCAGCCGAAACUCAAACACCCCCCUCCGGUACGUCCAAAACAUCCUCAUGCAAAACAGCUGUGGGAACCUCAAUAAAUGAAAGCACGAUUCUCAACCA
Long non-coding RNA from Alosa alosa (allis shad), 332 nucleotides. RefSeq lists it as uncharacterized. The transcript is spliced from 2 exons. The record is from RefSeq and is a predicted model, not a curated record. NCBI's taxonomy places the organism in Eukaryota, Metazoa, Chordata, Actinopteri, Clupeiformes, Clupeidae.